Molecule: transfer RNA, 76 nt
Filed under: Acidobacteriota bacterium
Lineage: Bacteria; Pseudomonadati; Acidobacteriota
Also listed under: 1 other name
Description: tRNA-Ala
Rfam family: tRNA
About the family: Transfer RNA (tRNA) molecules are approximately 80 nucleotides in length. Their secondary structure includes four short double-helical elements and three loops (D, anti-codon, and T loops).
Source: RNAcentral
GGGGCUGUAGCUCAGUUGGAAGAGUACCUGAAUGGCAUUCAGGGGGCCAGGGGUUCGAGUCCCCUCAGCUCCACCA